RNAcentral lists this ribosomal RNA (1048 nucleotides) under Candidatus Moeniiplasma glomeromycotorum. Its description in RNAcentral is "bacterial SSU rRNA". It matches the Rfam family "Bacterial small subunit ribosomal RNA", at positions 102 to 1195 of the family's 1533-position model. The record is from RNAcentral. Lineage: Bacteria; Bacillati; Mycoplasmatota; Mollicutes; Mycoplasmatales; Mycoplasmataceae.
ACGGGUGAGUAAUGCUUAUCUUACCUACCGUUUAGUGGGGGAUAAAAUACCGCAUAUUCUGGUUUCGACCAGGAAAGGACUUCGGUUCGCUAAAUGAUGGGGAUAAGUCGUAUCAGUUAGUUGGUAGGGUAAAGGCCUACCAAGACAAUGACGCGUAGCCGGGCUGAGAGGCUGAUCGGCCACAAGGGAACUGAGACACGGUUCCUACUCCUACGGGAGGCAGCAAUGAUGAAUCGUCGGCAAUGGGGGCAACCCUGACCGCGCAAUGCUACGUGAAGGAGGAAGGUCUACGGAUUGUAAACUUCUUUACUAGAGGGUACUGACGCAAGAAUUACCCUUUAGCAAAAAGUCACGACUAACUAUGUGCCAGCAGUCGCGGUAAAACAUAGGUGGCAAACGUUAUCCGGAAUUAUUGGGCGUAAAGGGUGCGUAGAUGGUAUGAUAAGUUAUCAGUGGUAAAUCGGGGCUCAACCUCGUGGAAGCUGGUAAUACUGUUAUACUUGAGUACAGGAGAGGUUAAUGGAAUUCCCUGUGGAGCGGUAAAAUGCGUUAGAUAUAGGGAAGAACACCAAUAACGGCGAAGGCAAUUAACUAUUCUGCUACUGACAUUGAGGCACGAAAGCGUGGGGAGCAAAAAGGAUUAGAUACCCUUGUAGUCCACGCCCUAAACGAUGAGUGCUAGAUAUUGGACAGUUUAUGUUCAGUGUCGCUAGUUAACACAGUAAGCACUCCGCCUGGGUAGUACGGUCGCAAGGCUGAAACUCAAAGGAAUUGACGGGGACUCGCACAAGCAGUGGAGCAUGUGGUUUAAUCCGAUACGACGCGUAGAACCUUACCAAGGCUUGACAUGUUGGGCAAAACUAGGGAAACCUAGUGGAGGUUAUCCUAACACAGGUGCUGCAUGGCCGUCGUCAGUUCGUGCCGUGAGGUGUAUGGUUAAGUCCUAUAACGAACGUAACCCUUAGGUUUAGUUGCCAGCAUUCAGUUGGGGACUCUAGACCGACUGCCCGAGUAAUCGGGAGGAAGGAAAGGAUGACGUCUGGUCGUA